AGAGUUUGAUCCUGGCUCAGAUUGAACGCUGGCGGCAUGCUUUACACAUGCAAGUCGAACGGUAGAGGCUUCGGCCUUGAGAGUGGCGAACGGGUGAGUAAUGCAUCGGAACAUACCCAGUCGUGGGGGAUAACGUAGCGAAAGUUACGCUAAUACCGCAUACGUCCUGAGGGAGAAAGCGGGGGAUCUUCGGACCUCGCGCGAUUGGAGUGGCCGAUGUCAGAUUAGCUAGUUGGUGGGGUAAAGGCCCACCAAGGCGACGAUCUGUAGCGGGUCUGAGAGGAUGAUCCGCCACACUGGGACUGAGACACGGCCCAGACUCCUACGGGAGGCAGCAGUGGGGAAUUUUGAACAAUGGGCGCAAGCCUGAUCCAGCCAUGCCGCGUGCAGGAAGAAGGCCUUCGGGUUGUAAACUGCUUUCGGACGGAAAGAAAUCGCCGCUUCUAAUACGAGCGGUGGA
This 460-nucleotide ribosomal RNA is filed under the name uncultured bacterium. RNAcentral describes it as "bacterial SSU rRNA". It matches the Rfam family "Bacterial small subunit ribosomal RNA", at positions 8 to 472 of the family's 1533-position model. The record is from RNAcentral.